AUUAUUCUUAUCCUCAUCAUUCAUUGUAUCAUCACUUUCUUCAUCCUCAUUAUUCUUUUGUUCCUCUUCAAAAUCCAAAAUUCGUCACUUCCUUUGAGCAGCCAAGAACUCAAAUCUAGAAAGUACAAAUGAGAAAACUUCCUUCAUAAAAGUUAUUCAUUUACGUGAUUUAUAUAACAUGCUACAUUUUCACCUCAAUCCAAUUAGUACAGACUCCGAAAAGUUGGUAUGAUCACAGUAUGUUUACCAUUUUCUGAUUUCGCAGUAGUAUGCUAGGUUUCAAUAUGUUUCUAUGAUUUCCUGUACUCAAAUGACUUGCUUCCUUCAUCAAAGUUGUUCAAAAUUCUGUCUAUUAUAACAUAUCAAAAAUUUAGAUUGAUCUGACUUCUAUAACCAUCUUGGGAAAGUUUAGAGUGGAACUUGUUCAUUGAUUAUAUUGAAUUUCUUGUUAUAGAUGUGUACUUUCUCUCAAAUGGUUUGUUAUUUGUCAUUCAAUUGAUCAAAUUAGCCACCAUCAUCUCAAGUAAAUGAUUCUUUGAAGAUAUGAAGCUCAUCUUCGUAUUGUCUUUUUGAGUACUAGUUGUAAAUCAAGUAUUGGUUAGAUUGCCUCAAUGACAUAUAUCUCAUUCAAAGUGUGUUUCUAUGAAGUUCUAGAUUAUUUCGAUGUGAUCUUGUACCAAUUUCAUUCUAGGAUUUUGUUACAUCAAAAUUGAUAUCUCAAGGUUAUUUCAAAGUUGGUUUUGUGCCAUUUGAAUUUAAAUUGAGUUUUUUGUGAAAUUUCAAAGUAGAGACUAUGUUGUUGGAAUUGUUCUGAUUCUACAGCAUGCCAUGUUUUGAAUACGUGUUUGAAAACUUCCUGAACUUGGAUUUUCAUGAAAUUUUAGUAUGUUUUACUUUCGCGUAUUUUCUUCAAAUCUAGAAAGUUUUAUCCAAUUUGGUUGUAAAUUGAAAGUUUGAUGAGUUUUCAAAAUAAAGUGUACAAACCUGAAAAGAAAAAAAAAACACACACAUUCUGCAGCCAAGUCUAUUUUGGUUUCUAUUUUGACAUGCUUCCUUAACCCUAAUUUCCAUCAAAUUUUGACAUUUUUAAAUUUUUCUAUGUCUAGUUAUGUCCUGAAAUUUUUUACAUUUUUUUUUUAUUUAAACUCAAUAUUUAGUGAAUUUUCAAAGUUAAUGUGUUCCAACCUAAAUGUUUAGCAAAACUGAAGUUUUUGUUUUAAUUGAUGUUUUAAAUUUUCUUUAUGAGUCUAGAGCUGAACCACCUGAUUUUAAACAUCCCAAAGAGUAUAACAAUUAUAGGAGGGGAAUAGAUUGAUUUUUCCUUGACACUUGGUUCUAUGCUUGUUUGAACGUGAGGUUAAGGGAGUAACAAUCGGGUCGAACAACUUGUCAAGUUUAUUAUAGGGCUUUGAUCUGCGCCUGUAGGACACUUAAACGUGUUUUCUUAUUUUCAGUGAAUUUUAAUUAGUAAAUUAUCUUAAUUAGGUGUUCUACUCUGCAUACUUUCGAGGACGAACUCGCACAAGGUUAAGCUAGGUGGACAUGAGGUAGGGUUUCCUGAUUUCCCGAUGAUAGGGCUAUGUCAUUUUUAAUCUUGGUGUUUAUAUAUAAUAUUAUAAAUAUGAAUAAUAUUGUUGCUUUGCUCGAUAAAUAUUAUGUUAUGUGAAUGUUAUUAUUGAUGUUUCUCCAUGGUUAUUAUUUUUGACGUUGGAUGAAUAUUAUUAUUCAUAUGAUGAAGCUUGAAAUAUUAUUGUUAUCAUUUGUGUUAUUAUUCUGCACAGAUAAAUGAUGUUUGCGCUGCAUUACAUAUGCAUCAUAAAUACAUUGGUAAUUAGGGGUGUGUGUGUCGUUUGAGGUAUAUCUAAGGGGUGGGAGAAGGCUUUAGAUAUAUAUGAGUACAAAUGCGGAAUACAUUUAAGUGACGGGAGCAGGGCUUGAAUAUAUUGAGGUGAUGAGAGCAGGGCCUCUAAUGAAAAGUAAAAGUUGAGAAAUUUGUAAACAAAAGAAAACUGGGUUAAGGGACAUAUGGGCACUAGUUCAUAUUUUAGGGUAUUCGGAGCCACAGUGGUAAAACGCAUGGUAUGGGACAUGCAUGCUUGUUGCCCUAAGGUAUGAAUUAGUGGAAUUAGAAGGGAGUGAGUUCAUGGCAUCACCGCAUAUACAAAUUUAUUUAUGUGGUAUGGUUGCAUAAUUUCUGUAUCUUGUGUCGUUUGAUGCAUGACACUUUGAUUAACUGUGAUAGUUAACCUUGAGGGGUUUGACGGUACUCUACUGGGCAUUAGAAUGCUCAUACCCUAAUGGAUUAUGCAGGAUUCAAGACGAAGUUUGAGGAAGCGGGUUUCAACUAAGCUGCUAGGCUUUUAUUGUUUAUUUGUGUAGUUAAUAAUUGUAAGUAGUCAACCGUUUGAUAAAAAUCUUAGUGUGUAUUUAACUACGAGUUACUGUGACUCUAAUUUUGUGUUGUUAAUUAAAUUUGUAUUAUUUGUGGCUCUAUUUCUCAUCAUAUCAUGGUUGUAGGAUUUUUUUUUUCUUAUGACUAUGGUAUGACUCACACCGUGAUUCGAGAAUAUUCCUUUUUUUCGAAUCGGGUCGUGACAUUCGUAUUCCCAUUACUCCUCCACGUUUGUGGUGUGAUAAUGUCAGUGCAAUCUCCCUUACUUCCAAUCUCGUAUUUCAGUCCCACAAUCGUCAUAUUGAGGUUGAUUAUCACUAUGUUCAAGAGAAAGCCAUUCGCAAGGAGCUUGAAGUUGAUCACAUUUCGUCUACGGAUCUGCUUGUUGAUCUUCUAACCAAGGGUCUUUCCACUCUUCGGUUUUGCUAUUUACUCUCCAAGCUUCCCGUUCUUUGUUGUCCGCUCAGCUUGCAGGGGCGUGAUAAACCUUGUUAGGCAGUUACCAUAGUCCUGACUAGUAACGGGUGGUUUAAAGACAAUGAGUGCCAGCAUGUAAUUGUUUCUGCUGUUAUGAUAUUAUUAGGUUGUAAAUACAUUUUCGUUA
Molecule: long non-coding RNA, 2996 nt
Filed under: Prunus dulcis (almond)
Lineage: Eukaryota; Viridiplantae; Streptophyta; Magnoliopsida; Rosales; Rosaceae
Description: sRNA ncRNA
Source: RNAcentral